GUAGGGAAUCUUCCACAAUGGACGAAAGUCUGAUGGAGCAACGCCGCGUGAACGAUGAAGGCUUUCGGGUCGUAAAGUUCUGUUGUAAGGGAAGAACAAGUGCCGCAGGCAAUGGCGGCACCUUGACGGUACCUUGCGAGAAAGCCACGGCUAACUACGUGCCAGCAGCCGCGGUAAUACGUAGGUGGCAAGCGUUGUCCGGAAUUAUUGGGCGUAAAGCGCGCGCAGGCGGCCUCUUAAGUCUGAUGUGAAAGCCCCCGGCUCAACCGGGGAGGGCCAUUGGAAACUGGGAGGCUUGAGUAUAGGAGAGAAGAGUGGAAUUCCACGUGUAGCGGUGAAAUGCGUAGAGAUGUGGAGGAACUCCAGUGGCGAAGGCGACUCUUUGGCCUAUAACUGACGCUGAGGCGCGAAAGCGUGGGGAGCAAACAGGAUUAGAAACCCGGGUAGUCC
This 450-nucleotide ribosomal RNA is filed under the name uncultured bacterium. Its description in RNAcentral is "partial 16S ribosomal RNA". It matches the Rfam family "Bacterial small subunit ribosomal RNA", at positions 354 to 796 of the family's 1533-position model. The record is from RNAcentral.